Molecule: microRNA, 22 nt
Filed under: Melibe leonina
Lineage: Eukaryota; Metazoa; Mollusca; Gastropoda; Nudibranchia; Dendronotidae
Description: mle-miR-2k-5p
Gene: mle-miR-2k-5p
Source: miRBase by way of RNAcentral
GCCCUUCCUUCUGGUUGUCAUG